AUUGAACGCUGGCGGCAUGCUUUACACAUGCAAGUCGAACGGUAACAGGUUAAGCUGACGAGUGGCGAACGGGUGAGUAAUGCAUCGGAACGUGCCCGAUCGUGGGGGAUAACACCUCGAAAGAAGUGCUAAUACCGCAUACGAUCUGAGGAUGAAAGCGGGGGACCGUAGGGCCUCGCGCGAUCGGAGCGGCCGAUGUCAGAUUAGGUAGUUGGUGGGGUAAAGGCUCACCAAGCCGACGAUCUGUAGCUGGUCUGAGAGGACGACCAGCCACACUGGGACUGAGACACGGCCCAGACUCCUACGGGAGGCAGCAGUGGGGAAUUUUGGACAAUGGGCGCAAGCCUGAUCCAGCAAUGCCGCGUGCAGGAAGAAGGCCUUCGGGUUGUAAACUGCUUUUGUACGGAGCGAAAAGGCUCUCUCUAAUACAGGGGGCUCAUGACGGUACCGUAAGAAUAAGCACCGGCUAACUACGUGCCAGCAGCCGCAGUAA
Molecule: ribosomal RNA, 493 nt
Filed under: uncultured bacterium
Lineage: Bacteria
Description: partial 16S ribosomal RNA
Rfam family: Bacterial small subunit ribosomal RNA
Source: RNAcentral